Molecule: ribosomal RNA, 1484 nt
Organism: Synechococcus sp. KORDI-100
Lineage: Bacteria; Bacillati; Cyanobacteriota; Cyanophyceae; Synechococcales; Synechococcaceae
Rfam family: Bacterial small subunit ribosomal RNA
Source: Rfam
ACAACGGAGAGUUUGAUCCUGGCUCAGGAUGAACGCUGGCGGCGUGCCUAACACAUGCAAGUCGAACGAACCUUCGGGUUAGUGGCGGACGGGUGAGUAACGCGUGGGAAUCUGCCCUCAGGAGGGGGAUAACGGCUGGAAACGGCCGCUAAUACCCCAUAUGCCGAGAGGUGAAAUGAAUUUCGCCUGAGGAUGAGCCCGCGUCUGAUUAGCUUGUUGGUGAGGUAAUGGCUCACCAAGGCUUCGAUCAGUAGCUGGUCUGAGAGGAUGAUCAGCCACACUGGGACUGAGACACGGCCCAGACUCCUACGGGAGGCAGCAGUGGGGAAUUUUCCGCAAUGGGCGAAAGCCUGACGGAGCAACGCCGCGUGAGGGAUGAAGGCCUCUGGGCUGUAAACCUCUUUUCUCAAGGAAGAAGAUCUGACGGUACUUGAGGAAUAAGCCACGGCUAAUUCCGUGCCAGCAGCCGCGGUAAUACGGGAGUGGCAAGCGUUAUCCGGAAUUAUUGGGCGUAAAGCGUCCGCAGGCGGCCCUUCAAGUCUGCUGUUAAAGCGUGGAGCUUAACUCCAUCAUGGCAGUGGAAACUGUUGGGCUUGAGUGUGGUAGGGGCAGAGGGAAUUCCCGGUGUAGCGGUGAAAUGCGUAGAUAUCGGGAAGAACACCAGUGGCGAAGGCGCUCUGCUGGGCCAUCACUGACGCUCAUGGACGAAAGCCAGGGGAGCGAAAGGGAUUAGAUACCCCUGUAGUCCUGGCCGUAAACGAUGAACACUAGGUGUCGGGGGAAUCGACCCCCUCGGUGUCGUAGCCAACGCGUUAAGUGUUCCGCCUGGGGAGUACGCACGCAAGUGUGAAACUCAAAGGAAUUGACGGGGGCCCGCACAAGCGGUGGAGUAUGUGGUUUAAUUCGAUGCAACGCGAAGAACCUUACCAGGGUUUGACAUCCUGCGAACCUCUUGGAAACAGGAGGGUGCCUUCGGGAACGCAGUGACAGGUGGUGCAUGGCUGUCGUCAGCUCGUGUCGUGAGAUGUUGGGUUAAGUCCCGCAACGAGCGCAACCCACGUCUUUAGUUGCCAGCAUUUAGUUGGGCACUCUAGAGAGACCGCCGGUGAUAAACCGGAGGAAGGUGUGGAUGACGUCAAGUCAUCAUGCCCCUUACAUCCUGGGCUACACACGUACUACAAUGCUACGGACAGAGGGCUGCAAGUUCGCGAGGACAAGCAAAUCCCAUAAACCGUGGCUCAGUUCAGAUCGUAGGCUGCAACUCGCCUACGUGAAGGAGGAAUCGCUAGUAAUCGCAGGUCAGCAUACUGCGGUGAAUACGUUCCCGGGCCUUGUACACACCGCCCGUCACACCAUGGAAGUUGGCCACGCCCGAAGCCGUUACUCCAACCCUCGGGAGGAGGACGUCGAAGGUGGGGCUGAUGACUGGGGUGAAGUCGUAACAAGGUAGCCGUACCGGAAGGUGCGGCUGGAUCACCUCCUAA